GCGGAAAUGGCGGAACGGCAGACGCGGCGGUCUUAAAAACCGCUGGGGGCAACCCCGUGUGGGUUCGAGUCCCACUUUCCGCACCA
This 86-nucleotide transfer RNA is filed under the name bacterium HR26. Its description in RNAcentral is "tRNA-Leu". It matches the Rfam family "tRNA". From Rfam's summary of the family: Transfer RNA (tRNA) molecules are approximately 80 nucleotides in length. Their secondary structure includes four short double-helical elements and three loops (D, anti-codon, and T loops). The record is from RNAcentral.